AGAGUUUGAUUAUGGCUCAGGAUGAACGCUGGCGGCGUGCCUAACACAUGCAAGUCGAACGGAAGGUAAGCGCUUCGGAGGCUUCGGCCAAUGUAUACUUAUCUUAGUGGCGGACGGGUGAGUAACGCGUGGAUAACCUGCCAUAUACAGGGGGAUAACAGUUAGAAAUGACUGCUAAUACCGCAUAAGCGCACGGAAACGCAUGUUUCAGUGUGAAAAACUCCGGUGGUAUAUGAUGGAUCCGCGUCUGAUUAGCCAGUUGGCGGGGUAACGGCCCACCAAAGCGACGAUCAGUAGCCGACCUGAGAGGGUGAACGGCCACAUUGGGACUGAGACACGGCCCAAACUCCUACGGGAGACAGCAGUGGGGGAUAUUGCACAAUGGGGGAAACCCUGAUGCAAGCGACGCCGCGUGAGUGAAGAAGUAUUUCGGUAUGUAAAGCUCUAUCAGCAGGGAAGAUAAUGACGGUACCUGACUAAGAAGCACCGGCUAAAUACGUGCCAGCCGCGGC
This 512-nucleotide ribosomal RNA is filed under the name uncultured bacterium. Its description in RNAcentral is "bacterial SSU rRNA". It matches the Rfam family "Bacterial small subunit ribosomal RNA", at positions 8 to 518 of the family's 1533-position model. The record is from RNAcentral.